This 67-nucleotide transfer RNA is filed under the name bovine gut metagenome. It matches the Rfam family "tRNA", at positions 5 to 66 of the family's 71-position model. Rfam says of the family: Transfer RNA (tRNA) molecules are approximately 80 nucleotides in length. The record is from RNAcentral.
CAAUAGCUCAGUUGGAUAGAGCAUCUGCCUUCUAAGCAGAGGGUCAUAGGUUCGAAUCCUAUUUGGU